GACGAACGCUGGCGGCGUGCCUAAUACAUGCAAGUAGAACGCACAGUUUAUACCGUAGCUUGCUACACCAUAGACUGUGAGUUGCGAACGGGUGAGUAACGCGUAGGUAACCUGCCUGGUAGCGGGGGAUAACUAUUGGAAACGAUAGCUAAUACCGCAUAAUAUUAAUUAUUGCAUGAUAAUUAAUUGAAAGGUGCAAUUGCACCACUACCAGAUGGACCUGCGUUGUAUUAGCUAGUAGGUGAGGUAACGGCCCACCUAGGCGACGAUACAUAGCCGACCUGGGAGGGUGAUCGGCCACACUGGGACUGAGACACGGCCCAGACUCCUACGGGAGGCAGCAGUAGGGAGUCUUCGGCAAUGGACGAAAGUCUGACCGAGCAACGCCGCGGGAGUGAAGAAGGUUGUCGGAUCGUAAAGCUCUGUUGUAAGAGAAGAACGGGUGUGAGAGUGGAAAGUUCACACUGUGACGGUAUCUUACCAGAAAGGGACGGCUAACUACGUG
RNAcentral lists this ribosomal RNA (505 nucleotides) under uncultured bacterium. Its description in RNAcentral is "partial 16S ribosomal RNA". It matches the Rfam family "Bacterial small subunit ribosomal RNA", at positions 28 to 507 of the family's 1533-position model. The record is from RNAcentral.